CUUUUUUUAAGUCAAUAGAUAAAUAUUUCAUUAACAUAAAAGGGUUAUAUAGCUUUAAGCUAAAAGGAGCUCAGUCUACAGCAUAAAGACCCAAAAUUAGGCCCAAUUACAGGAGAACCCUACUCUAUUUGGGCAACCCAAAAGAAACCGGUGCAGAUCUGAAUCUUCUUGUUGCAGUGCUGGAGAGAAGGAAAAGUAAACCAAGAGAAGCUUAAGGAUAAAGCUCUUCAACCCAAAUGACAAGAAACGGCACUGAGGUCUGAUAAAGUCCCAAGGAAGCCAUAACCCAGUAAUAUUCUCCACAAAACAGCAAGAUCAAGAUAAGGAUUCUCUAGAGCAGUCCAUAAAAUCCAAAUCGUGCAUCGCCGGCUAAGCAAGCAACUCAAAGAGGGUGAUGAGGCAAAGCUCUAAAUGGCAACAUGCCUUGAAAGUCAGCCAUGAUGGUAGAUUCGACUAAGGACCCCUGAGAUGCCAUCAUCCCUUAAAAUGAUUACCCCUCCUAGAGCUAGAAAAAAGCACAAAUGGAGACCAUCCCUGCUUGCAAAACCCAUAAAAGAAGCAGAUCAAGAAAGCACUCACAAAUAACCAUAGAUUUGCCACCCAAAAAACCAAAUUUUAUGUAUCCACAAACCAUAUACGGAGAUGAGGAGGGAAAGACCCAUGUCCAGGCAAAGGAGAGGAGUCCAUCCCCUACCUGGAAAGGGCAGAGAAUGGCCAACGGGAGCUCAACAGGAGAGAGACAUUGAGUCUCAAAAAAUUACCCAAAACGAGAGAAAAGACGAGAGCUCUUCUAAUUACUCUUCUAUAAUAUUUGUGGCAUCAUCUAUGCCAGACAAGUUGUAAUGUAGUUUUGCUAGCCUUGGCUCCCAAAAGAGAGAGACAGUUCUGAAACAAGCCUAUAAAUACUUCUCAAAUCCCAAAACCCUGCCUAUAAAUACUUAUAAAACCCCAACACUCAUUCUAUCAUCAAUAUUUCAACAGCAAUAAGCAAAACCAAAAUGAAGUUUUGCAAGCUCUCAUUAGCACUCUCUUUUCUCCUUAGCACAGAACUAAUAAUCUUACCC
This 1064-nucleotide unclassified non-coding RNA is filed under the name Hevea brasiliensis (rubber tree). Lineage: Eukaryota; Viridiplantae; Streptophyta; Magnoliopsida; Malpighiales; Euphorbiaceae. The record is from RNAcentral.